AGUGAACGCUGGCGGCAGGCCUAACACAUGCAAGUCGAACGGCAGCACAGAGGAGCUUGCUCCUUGGGUGGCGAGUGGCGGACGGGUGAGGAAUACAUCGGAAUCUGCCUAGUCGUGGGGGGCAUAACGUAGGGAAACUUACGCUAAUACCGCAUACGACCUACGGGUGAAAGCGGGGGAUCGCAAGACCUCGCGCGAUUAGAUGAGCCGAUGUCCGAUUAGCUAGUUGGCGGGGUAAUGGCCCACCAAGGCGACGAUCGGUAGCUGGUCUGAGAGGAUGAUCAGCCACACUGGAACUGAGACACGGUCCAGACUCCUACGGGAGGCAGCAGUGGGGAAUAUUGGACAAUGGGCGCAAGCCUGAUCCAGCCAUGCCGCGUGGGUGAAGAAGGCC
RNAcentral lists this ribosomal RNA (394 nucleotides) under uncultured bacterium. Its description in RNAcentral is "bacterial SSU rRNA". It matches the Rfam family "Bacterial small subunit ribosomal RNA", at positions 29 to 416 of the family's 1533-position model. The record is from RNAcentral.